This is a long non-coding RNA of Heterocephalus glaber (naked mole-rat), 1218 nucleotides long. Lineage: Eukaryota; Metazoa; Chordata; Mammalia; Rodentia; Bathyergidae. The record is from Ensembl.
AAAAUUUAUUUUGUGCUUAUUAAAGGGAUGCUUUCACAAUAGUGUAUCAUUCCUUUUGUUGAAUUUGAAAUUUCUGUGGUCAGUACUUCAUUAGUCUCAGCAAGUCUUGCUUUUAAGACUUUUCAGAUUGGUAGUAUUUCUGUUUCAUUAAGUCUUUUCUUUAUGUAAGUUGUCACUUCACUUAGGUCAGAUGAAAUCUGUUGCUCCACAAAGAAGGUGGUCAUCAUUAAGAGGUGGUUUUAGUUGGCUGGUGCUUUGCAUGGUAACAGAGUGGUGCCCUUUGUUAGCAUUCUGGGUCAGAGUAUUGGCUGGAGUUAAGGGUACUUGCAGCCUGGGCAUGCUAGACACACUUGUAGUUCUUCUAAGUCAGAUUUCAUAGGAAACCUCAUACGUCCUUGUCCUUGGGUCAAACCAAAAUGCAUUCCAAUGUCAAGGAGAAGUUAUGAGUAGAUUCAGCAAUUUUAGAUGGUUUAAUUUCUGUUCUAGAACUAUUUUUUUAUUUGGUACCGGGGAUUGAACUUGGGUCCUUGUGCUUGCGCAGCAGGUGGUGAAAUCACUGAGCUAAAUUCCUGGCCCUAUUCUAGUACUAUUAAACUAUAUGAACUAUUCUAUUACUGCAGCUAUGUAAGCAUCAACUUUAAUAAGCUCUCCUUUUUGUUUAUAGAAGGUUACUUAUGGCUUUCUUCCGAAUGUUAAAGCUGAUCUUGUACUGUUGUAUCCUCUUGUAAAAUCCCUUCUAGUGCUGGGAUACUUUGAUGGCGAUUGUAUUAGAUUUUAGGGAUAUCUUUUCUCUGACCCAAAACUUUGUUGAUUUUUAAAAAUCAACAAAACUGCUUUUUUUUUUAAAGUGCAAAAAUUAAUCCCACUUAAUUCUGCUAUGCAUUCUGCUACAUAUAUGAACAGAACUUUUGUAACUGCGGUAACAGUCAAUAGAUAGGAAAUCAGUUAUUCUUGCAUCCUUUUAGAAUUUUGAAAACUUACUAGGCACUAAAACUUUACUGUAGAACAGAGUCCCUAAGCUGUCUAUGUAAUGAUUAUGUUUAAUUUCAAAAGAAUUCUUAGGCUCUACAAUCAAAGAGGGAUAAAACUAUUUCUAUUUUUCAUGGGAAAAGGACAGUAGAACGUGCAAUAAAGUAACAUAAUCUUGUAUGGCAGGCGCCGGAACCACUGAGCUAAAUCCCUGGCCCCUUAUUCGUUUUAUUUUUAACAAAUUUGGUU